Molecule: long non-coding RNA, 473 nt
Filed under: Brassica napus (rape)
Lineage: Eukaryota; Viridiplantae; Streptophyta; Magnoliopsida; Brassicales; Brassicaceae
Description: long non-coding RNA (BNAP_LNC020458)
Source: RNAcentral
GCUUAUUUGCUAAAUAGCCAAAAAAGUGAAAUUAGAUUUUUAGAGAGAGAGUAGAGAGACAUAGGAAAAGAAAGUAUGAGAGAGGGGGUGUUUUUAGUUAGUUAGUGAAUUUUGUUUUUUUUUUUGUGUCUAUUGGGUGCAAUUUCCCAUUAGGUAGCUUUAACUAUCUCAAUAGUUAGUUAAAAAAAAAAAAAAGACAAUGCAAUAUAUUUUUGGUAAGCAUAAGUUGUUUUUAGGCCAAAACGUCUAACUAACGUAAAAUUCUGUAGUCAUCACUUGAAUUUCUAUUCCAUGUUGACCUUAUAAACCAAUUUGAUAUAUCUAAAAAGCUUAGUUUCAAUAAUCUUUUGAAUAAUACAUAGUAAUGUGUGUGUGUGGGUAAGAGUGUGCAUGGUGUAUUACGUUAUAUAUGAUGUAUAAACAAAAUCUAAGCAUAUAUAUACCAAUGUAAUGUCAGCAACAUGCAUGCGUUA